RNAcentral lists this non-coding RNA (95 nucleotides) under uncultured Mediterraneibacter sp. The record is from RNAcentral. Lineage: Bacteria; Bacillati; Bacillota; Clostridia; Lachnospirales; Lachnospiraceae.
AAAAGGGGGAGCUUGCGCGGGAAGCAGGCUGAGAGUAAGCUGCAUGCUUAGACCCGUGACCUGAUUUGGGUAAUGCCAGCGUAGGGAGAAAAUAA